RNAcentral lists this transfer RNA (74 nucleotides) under Roseibium sp. RKSG952. RNAcentral describes it as "tRNA-Phe". It matches the Rfam family "tRNA". Rfam says of the family: Transfer RNA (tRNA) molecules are approximately 80 nucleotides in length. Lineage: Bacteria; Pseudomonadati; Pseudomonadota; Alphaproteobacteria; Hyphomicrobiales; Stappiaceae. The record is from RNAcentral.
GCGUGGGUUGCUCAGGGUAGAGCAUCGGGUUGAAGUUCCGAGUGUCGAUGGUUCGAUUCCAUCUCCAUGCAUCA